RNAcentral lists this ribosomal RNA (494 nucleotides) under uncultured bacterium. Its description in RNAcentral is "partial 16S ribosomal RNA". It matches the Rfam family "Bacterial small subunit ribosomal RNA", at positions 28 to 507 of the family's 1533-position model. The record is from RNAcentral.
GACGAACGCUGGCGGCGCGCUUAACACAUGCAAGUCGAACGGAAAGGCCUGCUUUCCCUUGUGGAUUGCGGGUACUCGAGUGGCGAACGGGUGAGUAACACGUGAGUGAUCUGCCCCCAACUUGGGUAUAAGCCUGGGAAACUGGGUCUAAUUCCCGAUAGGACUGCAGGGUGGUGCCUGUGGUGGAAAACGAUUUUCUAGUGGUUGGGGAUGAGCUCGCGGCCUAUCAGCUUGUUGGUGGGGUAAUGGCCUACCAAGGCGGCGACGGGUAGCCGGCCUGGGAGGGUGGACGGCCACAUUGGGACUGAGAUACGGCCCAGACUCCUACGGGAGGCAGCAGUGGGGAAUAUUGCACAAUGGGGGGAAGCCUGAUGCAGCGACGCCGCGUGGGGGAUGACGGCCUUCGGGUUGUAAACUCCUUUCGACCGCGAGGAAGCCACCUGGUUGGAAGGGUGGUGACGGUAGUGGUAGAAGAAGCACCGGCUAACUACGUG